Molecule: long non-coding RNA, 578 nt
Filed under: Homo sapiens (human)
Lineage: Eukaryota; Metazoa; Chordata; Mammalia; Primates; Hominidae
Description: HSALNT0396659
Source: RNAcentral
ACAUAUCACUGGACCCAGCAUCUAGGUGAUAUGGCUCUCCUUUUUCACCUUGGCUUCUUGUAUUUUGGGUAUUAUGACAUAUCACUGGGUCAAACCAAAGGAGGGGGAGGCUCUUGCCUAGGCCCUGCCCACAGGAGACCUUGAGACAGAUCUCUGCAUCCAUCACUUUGGAAGUGUGACUCUCCUCUUCUGGCUGCUCCAUGCCCGCACAGAAGACUGUGAUAUAUCUCCGGGUUCACCAACCAGGUUCUGCCAAAACAAGUGAUUGCAACAUAUAAUUGGACCAGCAACUAGAUGAUGUGACUCUUCUCUUCUGCCUGAGCCCUGGAUAUACUGUGUAUUAUGACACAUGGCUGAGUCCAACAUCAAGGUGAUGUGACUGACCACUUCUGCCUGGGCCAUGCCGAAAAAAGGAGAUUGUGACAUAUCACUGCAUUCAAUACCUAGAUGAUGCUCCAUGACAAGUGGCACCAACAACAGGGACUUCAAGGACGUGACGAAGAAGGUCUGCUAGAGCAGAGGAAGUGAAAUUUACCAGAUGAACCGGGACCCCAGGACGAGUCUGUCAGCAGGGAAUA